RNAcentral lists this ribosomal RNA (497 nucleotides) under uncultured bacterium. RNAcentral describes it as "partial 16S ribosomal RNA". It matches the Rfam family "Bacterial small subunit ribosomal RNA", at positions 28 to 507 of the family's 1533-position model. The record is from RNAcentral.
GAUGAACGCUGGCGGCGUGCCUAAUACAUGCAAGUCGAGCGAACAGACGAGGAGCUUGCUCCUCUGACGUUAGCGGCGGACGGGUGAGUAACACGUGGAUAACCUACCUAUAAGACUGGGAUAACUUCGGGAAACCGGAGCUAAUACCGGAUAAUAUAUUGAACCGCAUGGUUCAAUAGUGAAAGACGGUUUUGCUGUCACUUAUAGAUGGAUCCGCGCCGCAUUAGCUAGUUGGUAAGGUAACGGCUUACCAAGGCAACGAUGCGUAGCCGACCUGAGAGGGUGAUCGGCCCAACUGGAACUGAGACACGGUCCAGACUCCUAAGGGAGGCAGCAGUAGGGAAUCUUCCGCAAUGGGCGAAAGCCUGACGGAGCAACGCCGCGUGAGUGAUGAAGGUCUUCGGAUCGUAAAACUCUGUUAUUAGGGAAGAACAAAUGUGUAAGUAACUAUGCACGUCUUGACGGUACCUAAUCAGAAAGCCACGGCUAACUACGUG